GGAGUUGUGGCUCAGUGGUGGAGCUCUCACCUAGCACGUGUGAGGCUCUGGGUUCGAUCCUCAGCACCA
This 69-nucleotide transfer RNA is filed under the name Marmota monax (woodchuck). It matches the Rfam family "tRNA". From Rfam's summary of the family: Transfer RNA (tRNA) molecules are approximately 80 nucleotides in length. Their secondary structure includes four short double-helical elements and three loops (D, anti-codon, and T loops). The record is from Rfam by way of RNAcentral. Lineage: Eukaryota; Metazoa; Chordata; Mammalia; Rodentia; Sciuridae.